AUUGAACGCUGGCGGCAGGCCUAACACAUGCAAGUCGAGCGGUAGCACAGAGAGCUUGCUCUCGGGUGACGAGCGGCGGACGGGUGAGUAAUGUCUGGGAAACUGCCUGAUGGAGGGGGAUAACUACUGGAAACGGUAGCUAAUACCGCAUAAUGUCGCAAGACCAAAGUGGGGGACCUUCGGGCCUCUUGCCAUCAGAUGUGCCCAGAUGGGAUUAGCUAGUAGGUGGGGUAAUGGCUCACCUAGGCGACGAUCCCUAGCUGGUCUGAGAGGAUGACCAGCCACACUGGAACUGAGACACGGUCCAGACUCCUACGGGAGGCAGCAGUGGGGAAUAUUGCACAAUGGGCGCAAGCCUGAUGCAGCCAUGCCGCGUGUGUGAAGAAGGCCUUCGGGUUGUAAAGCACUUUCAGCGGGGAGGAAGGCGUUAAGGUUAAUAACCUUGUCGAUUGACGUUACCCGCAGAAGAAGCACCGGCUAACUCCGUGCCAGCAGCCGCGGUAAUACGGAGGGUGCAAGCGUUAAUCGGAAUUACUGGGCGUAAAGCGCACGCAGGCGGUCUGUCAAGUCGGAUGUGAAAUCCCCGGGCUCAACCUGGGAACUGCAUUCGAAACUGGCAGGCUAGAGUCUUGUAGAGGGGGGUAGAAUUCCAGGUGUAGCGGUGAAAUGCGUAGAGAUCUGGAGGAAUACCGGUGGCGAAGGCGGCCCCCUGGACAAAGACUGACGCUCAGGUGCGAAAGCGUGGGGAGCAAACAGGAUUAGAUACCCUGGUAGUCCACGCCGUAAACGAUGUCGAUUUGGAGGUUGUGCCCUUGAGGCGUGGCUUCCGGAGCUAACGCGUUAAAUCGACCGCCUGGGGAGUACGGCCGCAAGGUUAAAACUCAAAUGAAUUGACGGGGGCCCGCACAAGCGGUGGAGCAUGUGGUUUAAUUCGAUGCAACGCGAAGAACCUUACCUGGUCUUGACAUCCACAGAACUUUCCAGAGAUGGAUUGGUGCCUUCGGGAACUGUGAGACAGGUGCUGCAUGGCUGUCGUCAGCUCGUGUUGUGAAAUGUUGGGUUAAGUCCCGCAACGAGCGCAACCCUUAUCCUUUGUUGCCAGCGGUUAGGCCGGGAACUCAAAGGAGACUGCCAGUGAUAAACUGGAGGAAGGUGGGGAUGACGUCAAGUCAUCAUGGCCCUUACGACCAGGGCUACACACGUGCUACAAUGGCAUAUACAAAGAGAAGCGACCUCGCGAGAGCAAGCGGACCUCAUAAAGUAUGUCGUAGUCCGGAUUGGAGUCUGCAACUCGACUCCAUGAAGUCGGAAUCGCUAGUAAUCGUAGAUCAGAAUGCUACGGUGAAUACGUUCCCGGGCCUUGUACACACCGCCCGUCACACCAUGGGAGUGGGUUGCAAAAGAAGUAGGUAGCUUAACCUUCGGGAGGGCGCUUACCACUUUGUGAUUCAUGACUGGGGUGA
RNAcentral lists this ribosomal RNA (1463 nucleotides) under uncultured Klebsiella sp. RNAcentral's name for it is "bacterial SSU rRNA". It matches the Rfam family "Bacterial small subunit ribosomal RNA". The record is from RNAcentral. Lineage: Bacteria; Pseudomonadati; Pseudomonadota; Gammaproteobacteria; Enterobacterales; Enterobacteriaceae.